RNAcentral lists this ribosomal RNA (484 nucleotides) under uncultured bacterium. Its description in RNAcentral is "partial 16S ribosomal RNA". It matches the Rfam family "Bacterial small subunit ribosomal RNA", at positions 28 to 523 of the family's 1533-position model. The record is from RNAcentral.
GACGAACGCUGGCGGCGUGCUUAACACAUGCAAGUCGAACGGUGAAGCUCAAGCUUGCUUGGGUGGAUCAGUGGCGAACGGGUGAGUAACACGUGAGCAACCUGCCCCGGACUCUGGAAUAAGCGCUUCGAAAGAGGUGCUAAUACCGGAUACGAACUCCUUGGGCAUCCUUGGGGUUGGAAAGUUUUUCGGUCUGGGAUGGGCCCACGGCCUAUCAGCUUGUUGGUGAGGUGACGGCUCACCAAGGCGACGACGGGUAGCCGGCCUGAGAGGGCGACCGGCCACACUGGGACUGAGACACGGCCCAGACUCCUACGGGAGGCAGCAGUGGGGAAUAUUGCGCAAUGGGCGAAAGCCUGACGCAGCAACGCCGCGUGAGGGAUGACGGCCUUCGGGUUGUAAACCUCUUUCAGCAGGGAAGAAGCGAAAGUGACGGUACCUGCAGAAGAAGCACCGGCUAACUACGUGCCAGCCGCCGCGGUAA